UACGAAGGGGGCUAGCGUUGUUCGGAAUUACUGGGCGUAAAGGGCGCGUAGGCGGUGUGUCAAGUCAGGCGUGAAAGCCCCGGGCUCAACCUGGGAACAGCGCUUGAGACUGGCACGCUCGAGUUCGGGAGAGGAUGGUGGAAUUCCCAGUGUAGAGGUGAAAUUCGUAGAUAUUGGGAAGAACACCGAUGGCGAAGGCAGGUCUCUGGGCCAUAACUGACGCUGAGAAGCGAAAGCAUGGGGAGCGAACAGG
Molecule: ribosomal RNA, 253 nt
Filed under: uncultured bacterium
Lineage: Bacteria
Description: partial 16S ribosomal RNA
Rfam family: Bacterial small subunit ribosomal RNA
Source: RNAcentral